GCCCGCUAACAAAUUGAAAACUGUACCUAUACGCCUUAUUUGAUUCUUAUUUUAAGUCCAGAUUUAUAGUACUCGUAUUGUCAUCUUAGAAAGUCUUACUGCUUAAAAUACUACAAUAGGGACCAAUUUGACAAUGAUUGAAUUUAGUAGUGUCAACCCUGUGACUAUGACCCGUGUACAUGGCAAAAUCCGAAAUACACUGUUUGGUGGUGCGCCUGUCAGAUGAGAAACGUACCGAUAAGUAAUAGGUAACAGGUGAAUAUUAAUUAUGUGGAAGAGUGCUGUAAUUUUUUUUAAUCAACACCAUAAUAGCAUUGUCCUAUAUUAGAUAUAUAUAAAAUUGAAUUCUUUGAUUUGUCGUUUUUACCCCAUGACGGCUGAUAAAUUGGACCUCGUCAUUUUAGUAUUAUAGUUGUUCCCUAUGAUAUAAUCUUUCUAAUUUUAAUGCCAAAUUAGAGUUUUUACUCCAUUUUCACGGUCCACUGAACAUAGAAAAUGAUAGUGCAGAUGGGGCAUGCGUGUACUGGGGACACAUUCUUAUAUAUCUAUACUUCUAAAUCUGAAGACCGUUUUUAUGUAUGUUUUAUAUAUAAAGGUAUAUAUACUUGAUAGGGCAUACUGAAAAUUUCACCCCUUUACAUCUAGAAUGGUAAAAGUGACGCCAACAAAAUUCAAACUUGACUUGUGUUUUGUGGUUGCGUAUAAGUUUCAUAAAAUUUGGUUCAGGCAAACUAAAGUAAGAGAACAGAAAUCAAUUUUGGUGUGUAUGGACGUACGUACAAGUAAGAGACGUACAUACUUACAGAAAAAAACAAGGAUAAAACUCAAUAUGGUGGGGGCAUAACAAUAGUAGUAUGACCUCAGGAAUAAAAAAGUUUAUAUAUACUAGAUUCAUACAAUGUUGAUCUGAGGUACACGUGCUUAUAACCCUGAAACACAUUUUAGUUGCUGCUGCGUAAUUGCCAUUGAGGCAAUGACAUUUGAGAUUUUUGUUUUAAGCCAUUUAUUUAAUCAUUCUGUGGGGACACAUUAUUAAUUAUAGGUCAAUCUUAAAAAAUCAUACUGCCCCAGGAAUAAAGUGAGGAUAAAAAGUUCUGGAUCCGCCACUGCAUUGUUAAGCACUAAGAAAGUCAUUUUGCUAGUACAUGGACAAAUGUUAUUAAAUCAUUAUAAUAAUUUCUACAGCACUUGUCUUUAGCUUGAUCUCGGUCUUGAUACACUGAACUAUAAUAUUCUUAGAAGUAGUUGAUGACUCAGUUGCUUUUAAAUUAUACGGAUGCUAUGAUACUAAUUGUCAUUAAGACAAUGUUUUUUUCUGUUGUCAGUAUGAUCCAGUUGAACAUGCUGAACGAGUGAAGGUCCUUAUAUCCACAUUGGAAUGUGAAACAGUUAGUACUUAACGAAUUAAAAGUUUUCAAAUGAUUUUUGGCAUCAAAAUUUUCAGAUCGAUGUCAGUUUGACAAAAACAAUGCACUUUUCUAUUUAUUUCUAUAAGCCGGUAUUUACCUUUAAUCGUCCUUGGCGUGAGACAUAAGCCAUAUAAUUAUCGAUUAUUUUAUAUUCUAUCACCUGUGUAUUGUUAAAAUAAAUCAAACCAUUAUCACUUGUCAAUUAUCCGACAAUUUUGUCAAAUAUUAACUUGUUCUCGCAUACCGGACUCUUUCGAUACACUCGGGCUUUUACUUAUUCAAUAAUAAACAGUUGUAAAUAUCGUACAUAGUAAAAAA
This 1727-nucleotide long non-coding RNA is filed under the name Mytilus galloprovincialis (Mediterranean mussel). Lineage: Eukaryota; Metazoa; Mollusca; Bivalvia; Mytilida; Mytilidae. The record is from RNAcentral.